UCAUACAAAUCAAAAAGAGUUCUUAUGGUUUCCGAAGCGGUGAAUCCCUGAAUCUUUAUAUAUCGUGCUUCAUAGACACCACUUAGUUUCCUACUCGAAAAUCUGUAAACUAGGGUUCUUAAAUCAAUCAAAAUAUCAAAGUCAGGCAUUAAUAAUAACAGGGUUUAAUUUCAUAUUUUGGAUUAAGAUUCUUCUUUGGUUUGGAUUAAGAUUCUUCUCUGGUUUCUUUAAUGGGAAGAGAAAGGAGCGUCGUCUCGCGGCCUUAAACGCAACUGAUCGAAGAGUAAAGCUAGAUCUCUUUGCGGAACCCUCUGGAGAUUUGGGAGCCUCCUCUGGAAAUGACGAAGUUGAUGAUGGUGUUGACAAGAGUGCUGGAGAUACAAAUCUAACAUCUUCUUCAGGUGGGUUCCCUCAUUUUUUGCAUGAAAGGACUAUGUAGAGACGACAUGCCUGAACAACAUUAUUUUGGUGGAAAUAUUGUACAAGAAAAUGUUUUGUUCCCCGAGAAUUUGGUUUUUCAUAAUGUAGGAUGGCUGAGGUCUUGGGAACAUUCAAUGCUCAGAUCAAGUUGGGCUGGACCACAGUGAAAUAUAUUGAAUGACUCCCAACCUGUUAAGCCGUUUCUACAGCAUCUAAGCGUUCUGGAGGUCUCAGCAGGAUAAAUUUUUCUUUCUCGGUUCGUAUGUCUUUGUCUUUAUUUGAUUUGUGCUUCUAACCGUUUCUCUUUAUUGUGUUCAGGUGGUCAAGUUCAAAGGGAUGCUAAGAUUUCUAUAUUUAGAAUGCAAUUAUAGAUUCACUCAGCCACUAAUUUGUUAUUAAAAUUGAUUAUGGCGACGUAUAUAUUGCCUGUUAUUGUCACAUCUGUUUGUGCAAACAUCAGGACAAUCCUUUGCUGUUAUUUGGGCAAUAUAGUGACGAUGAAUUAAAUGAUGAGGAGAAUAAGAGGCCCAAGCAUGACGUUUCAGAGAGUUCUUCUAUCGAACAAAAGUCCCAGGUAUUUUUAUCCAAUAAACAUUUUUGGAAAAAUCGGCUCAAAAAGUUGUCGAAAAGCGCACCCGGGGACACUUGCUAUUCGGACUCUCACUAUGGAUAAGGGGUACCCCAAAUUACUAAGGGGCACCCUCAGGACACUCUCAAGGAAGCUUCUAUUCGCACCCCUGCUCUGGAUAGGGGUCACCUCUUCUUCACAAUUCAAAUGAAGCUUUUUGGCGGGAAGCUGUUGCAGCAACGAAGCUGGAGAUCGAAUUUUGAGCGAUUUAUAAGGAUAUUCAAUGGCUUAUUUUCGUUGGACUGGACCUGUGAUAGCAUAACAGGGUCACUGUGAUUGAUUGGACCCAACCAAUUGGGCUAGAUAGGCCGGGAGAAGCAAACAGAGGAGGUGAAGUUUAUCGGAGUUGUUAUCGUCUUUUGGGUGAGAUUAUGUCGGAGUUUGACGUGGAGAUGGAUUGGGAUUAUCUUGAUUCAACGAAACAGGGUUGGUAAUCCCUUUAGAUUCGAAAAUAGAGGAGGAAAUCAUCGAGUUGGCUGGCUAAAACAGGAAGUUCCGUGUAUUCUCGGAUAUUUUGGUUUAUGUAUGGAAGUACCAGAGGAUUUUACGUUAUGAAUUGAGUCCUUGUUCAGUCUACAGGGAGUACUUGAGAGUUUGGAGAACCAAGUUGACGCGUAGAUAAGCUUGGAAGGGAAAGAAAUCCCGAGACUUGAGGUGGAGAAAAAGAUAAGAAUAACCGAGGAUUUCUUGAGAUUCAAUCGAGUUGUUGGCUAUAAAAAGGUUGCUUCAAGUCACAGAGAGGGGCAAACGACUUUAGAGGAGGUUUAGAAGAGAACAGAGACCUAAAAUCACGAAUUGGAGUUUUAUUUCUGCUGGUGCUGCUGAAGAACACGAAGAACAUCAACCCACGCCCAACUGUCGCAGAACACUGUCGUUGUUCUACAACACUUCGCUUCUAUCGUUACUGUAGAAGUCUUAUUCCUUUUGUUUCUCUUGUAACAGUCGAUCUGCAACACAUAUAAACGUUGCGAUUGAACUGUUUUACUCCCUUUGAGUCUCUUCACUUUUGAAAACACCUUUUGAGCAAUGAAAAAAUAUU
Long non-coding RNA from Papaver somniferum (opium poppy), 2087 nucleotides. RefSeq lists it as uncharacterized. The transcript has 4 exons. Lineage: Eukaryota; Viridiplantae; Streptophyta; Magnoliopsida; Ranunculales; Papaveraceae. The record is from RefSeq and is a predicted model, not a curated record.